Long non-coding RNA from Bos taurus (domestic cattle), 502 nucleotides. Lineage: Eukaryota; Metazoa; Chordata; Mammalia; Artiodactyla; Bovidae. The record is from Ensembl.
GCCGAAAGGAAGGAUGUGUGCUGGGACCCAGGCUGCCUUCAUGAAGAACCAGCUGGGAGAUGCCGAAAGGAAGGAUGUGUGCUGGGACCCAGGCUGCCUUCACGAAGAAUCAGCUGCAGGUGCUCCAUGCCUUUUGCCUCUUGAUCCACACAUGGUGUGGCCACAUUCCACUGAGAUCCUACAGGGUCCUGGAGAUUCCCGGGGCUGAAGCAGACCCCUCUCAGCGUGGGUGCCCCAGAAGGACCUGAUGGAGACCUGCUGUCUGAUGGAGCGUGGAUGAAAAGAAAAGCCCCAUGGAGGUGAGAAAGAACAAGGUCUCCCAACACUAUGAUUAAACAGGUAACUGAUGAGAACCGGCUGCACAGCACGGGGAGCUCUGGUCAGCGCUCUGUGGCGACCUAGACGGGAAGGAAAUCCAGAGAAGGGAUGCCUGUAUAUGUGCAGCUGAGUCACUUUGCUGUACAGCAGAAACUUAACUCAACAUUGUAGUGUGACUACACGC